Molecule: ribosomal RNA, 299 nt
Filed under: Escherichia coli
Lineage: Bacteria; Pseudomonadati; Pseudomonadota; Gammaproteobacteria; Enterobacterales; Enterobacteriaceae
Description: partial 23S ribosomal RNA
Rfam family: Bacterial large subunit ribosomal RNA
Source: RNAcentral
CGAAUGCUGACAUAAGUAACGAUAAAGCGGGUGAAAAGCCCGCUCGCCGGAAGACCAAGGGUUCCUGUCCAACGUUAAUCGGGGCAGGGUGAGUCGACCCCUAAGGCGAGGCCGAAAGGCGUAGUCGAUGGGAAACAGGUUAAUAUUCCUGUACUUGGUGUUACUGCGAAGGGGGGACGGAGAAGGCUAUGUUGGCCGGGCGACGGUUGUCCCGGUUUAAGCGUGUAGGCUGGUUUUCCAGGCAAAUCCGGAAAAUCAAGGCUGAGGCGUGAUGACGAGGCACUACGGUGCUGAAGCAA